This 239-nucleotide unclassified non-coding RNA is filed under the name uncultured fungus. RNAcentral's name for it is "sequence contains ITS1". The stretch from base 1 to 97 matches the Rfam family "5.8S ribosomal RNA", at positions 49 to 154 of the family's 154-position model. The record is from RNAcentral. Lineage: Eukaryota; Fungi.
GAAAAUGCGAAAUGCAGUGUGAAUUGCAGAACCACGAAUCAUCGGAUCUUUGAACGCAUCUGGCGCCGAUAUACUCGGCAUACUUGUUUCAGUGUGCUUAAACAACUAACACCUAAAUGUGGGAGAAGUUCUCCUAUAAAGUAAAUGCUCCUUGCAGCUGUCACAUUUCUAUGUGAGCUACUAGGAGAUCAACGACUUAAUGUCACCUGAAAUCAAGUAAGAUGACCCGCUGGACUUAA